This 253-nucleotide ribosomal RNA is filed under the name uncultured bacterium. Its description in RNAcentral is "partial 16S ribosomal RNA". It matches the Rfam family "Bacterial small subunit ribosomal RNA", at positions 524 to 776 of the family's 1533-position model. The record is from RNAcentral.
GACGAACCGAGCGAACGUUGUUCGGGAUCACUGGGCUUAAAGGGUGCGUAGGCGGGCUGCCAAGUUUGAGGUGAAAUCCUCCGGCUCAACCGGGGAAGUGCCUUGAAUACUGGCGGUCUGGAGGGAGGUAGGGGCGUGCGGAACUAACGGUGGAGCGGUGAAAUGCGUUGAUAUCGUUAGGAACUCCGGUGGCGAAGGCGGCACGCUAGACCUCUUCUGACGCUGAGGCACGAAAGCCAGGGGAGCGAACGGG